AUUGGUGAGAAGUUAAUAACUCUCCAAGCACUCUCUUCUUAUAAGUCGGUGAAUUCUACCUAGGUAGCUUAUUCCUAGUAUGGUUUAACCUUAAUGACUCAUGGAGUGUAGGAAGAGUCGAAGUAUCUAGUGGGAAUAAAUACAAACACUUUGUUCUGUUCUAUCUCUAUUAUGGUUGAGCCUAAAUCUUUUUCCUAAGUCAUGAAAUUUGACUGUCGGGAAGAGGCAGUGCGAUCUGAGAUAGUUGCUUUUGAGCAGAACAAAACUUGGGUGCUCACUGAUUUAUCAAGUGGUAAAGUCCCCAAAAUGGGUUUAUAAAAUUAAACAUAGAGUAGAUGUCUGUAUUGAAUGUUAC
RNAcentral lists this unclassified non-coding RNA (355 nucleotides) under Hevea brasiliensis (rubber tree). Lineage: Eukaryota; Viridiplantae; Streptophyta; Magnoliopsida; Malpighiales; Euphorbiaceae. The record is from RNAcentral.